Ornithorhynchus anatinus (platypus) is the source of this 72-nucleotide non-coding RNA. Lineage: Eukaryota; Metazoa; Chordata; Mammalia; Monotremata; Ornithorhynchidae. The record is from Rfam.
AGCAGCGUGGCUCAGUGGAAAGAGCCCGGUCUUUGGAGUCAGAGAUCACGGGUUUGAAUCCUGGCUCUGCCA